CCCUUAGAUGUUCUGGGCGGCCCGCGCACUACAAUGGCGUGUGCAGCGAGUGCCGAAGUAGAGUUUUCCGAGGUAUUCUUGCAAUGCUCGUUUUGAUGGGGAUAGACCCUUGCAACUGUUGGUUUUGAACGAGGAAUUCCUUGUAAGCAUGGUUUAUCAUCCGACGCUGAAUGCCUCCCUGCCCUUUGUACACACCGCCCGUCGCUCCUACCGAUGAGUCGUCCGGUGAAGUUCGUAGACCUCGUGAUCGCGGAUCACUGGGGGAAGCAAAAUGAACCUCGCGGUUUAGAGGAAGGAGAAGUCGUAACA
RNAcentral lists this ribosomal RNA (309 nucleotides) under uncultured eukaryote. Its description in RNAcentral is "partial 18S ribosomal RNA". It matches the Rfam family "Eukaryotic small subunit ribosomal RNA", at positions 1470 to 1796 of the family's 1831-position model. The record is from RNAcentral.